This 322-nucleotide unclassified non-coding RNA is filed under the name fungal sp. Its description in RNAcentral is "partial internal transcribed spacer region". The stretch from base 1 to 46 matches the Rfam family "Eukaryotic small subunit ribosomal RNA", at positions 1786 to 1831 of the family's 1831-position model. Lineage: Eukaryota; Fungi. The record is from RNAcentral.
AAGUCGUAACAAGGUUUCCGUAGGUGAACCUGCGGAAGGAUCAUUAACACGUAUCCAAACGUAAAAAAACCCGGUCAAUCAUAGCCCGGAAAGUAGUUUUGAUUCAGAGACGUGAGAACAUUGGAACAGUUACAAUCGAGCGGUAGUUUCAUAGGCAUUGUUUCCCCAAGCAGUUAGUGUCUGAAAGUGCAAGGAUAGCGCUUCAACGAUUCCUGGAGACCGUACACUCGGGCAGGAGCUAUGCCAAAGGGUCCCCAUGCCCCCUUAUAACCCCACAGUUUAAAAAACCGAACAACUGUUAGCAAUGGAUAUCUUGGUUCUC